This is a long non-coding RNA of Phragmites australis (common reed), 3725 nucleotides long. RefSeq lists it as uncharacterized. The transcript has 5 exons. Lineage: Eukaryota; Viridiplantae; Streptophyta; Magnoliopsida; Poales; Poaceae. The record is from RefSeq and is a predicted model, not a curated record.
CCAGCAAAGAGACGUUUCCCCAAUCCAAUCCCCACCGAAUUCCUCCCCAAAUCUGGCCCCCGCGCGCCUCCUCCUCCGCCGCCGCGAUGAUCCAUGGAUUCUGCUCCCUCUUGCUCUCGCUGGUCCUCUCCUCUCUCUCCGCCAUGCCCAUGGAGGCCGUACGUCGGGUCGGUCAGUACUCGGCUCUCUCUGGUUGCACUGAUUACGUAGUACGUGCCUCACGAUGUCACGCAUGGCAUCCCCUUAGCUUCUCCAUUCCAUUUCCAUUUCCAUUGUGGAGUAGCAGCACUAGAUAUACCAACCCAACUAGUUGCAACUACUAGUACUUGCUAAUGUUGUGCUAGGCAUGAAUGCAUGUAUGCGGCAUGCGCUGCCCCAAUUUUAGAUUGUGUAAUUUAUUUCUACUCCAAACGAUCCGAUCGACCUUGUCACCUAAUUAAACCUUUUACGGACCCUUGAUUUUUCAUUCAUCCAAACUCAUGCCCACUUAAUUUCUACAGUGCAUCUCAAUUUCCAUCCAUCAAUCUCUUUCUGCGCUACUAUAUAUGAUUAGCUAGCCCUGCAAUUUGCUCUUAUUUAGGAUAGACCAAAACUGACUUCACAAGUCACAACCAUUAUUUAACUCUGGCUGGCUGGCUGCUUGAUCUUAUUGUGCGCUACAACACUCCAGAGGGGCUACUGCUACUCACUAAUCAUUUUCAAUCUGCAAUGUGGUUUGCCGCCCACUGAGGGGCUACUGCAGCUAUUGGAGGGAGAAAAUGAUCAUGCUCUAACAGGGUGAUUGAGGGUCAUUUAAUUUAAGCUCCAAGCAACAAGUGACUGGAGGCAUCGAUCCAUGCAUUCGCAUGCCAAAGCUGUAUCGCUGGUGGUGCUCCCGUCCAAGCUCCGAGUACAUUAUUUUUCGAGGUACAUGGCAGAUGGCACAGUGAAGAUAUCAUUCCCUCCAAGAUAAGGAUGCAGUUGGUGCCCGGGAAUACUUGGGAAAGCAUAUAUUGUGAUAGCGAAAACCCACUUGGACUGGUGGUCAAUACAGAAAGCUGUGUUUCUUGGGAUUCUACUAUAUCUUGCUUACUUCUUAUUGAUGAGUUUCUGGCUUAUUUCUAGUACUGAGCUAUGUCUCCAGUUCUUUUGCUUUACAGCUACAUACACAAAAUAAGCUUGCAAUUAAUUGAAAAAUGAACCCCCAAUUGAGCAGAGUGGGUUUUGGGCUGAACCACUUGCGCCCCUAGUAAUGCAAUUAAUCUACCUGUUUGUCUGUUAAUUUGCAUCCUUGGGUUUAUCUGAUGACACUAUCUGCAUAUUAUCUACCGUAAUUAAGACUCGUAUUCUCAUAAUACAGCGUAUGAUGUUAUGCUAUUCAGUGUGCCAUAGGAUCAUGACUCUUUUUGCAGUAUGUUGCUCUGAAGUAAUUUAUCAUUAUUGUUUUCUCAUCAUCUUUUUAGUUAGAUCUUGUGGGUUUCAUCUCUAACCUACCCCUAACUUGCUUGGGACAAAAGCUUUGUUGUUGUUGUUGUUGCUGUUGCUCUGAAGUAAUUCACAUUAACUGGAGACAUAAUGUUUCUUGUCUUUUUAAUAAAACAUACUAGAGAUGCAAUUCACUGUCAUAGGAGCAAUGGCCUGAUUUGCACCUACAGGAGUAGAACAAGGGACAACACUGCGUGCCAGUUAUAUCACACCUGUUUUUUCUUGUCCUUUCUUGGUAGAAAGCGGCCUUUUCAAAUAUUACUCCUGUGGUGCAUGGGCAGUUCUUUGUAGACUUGGGAUAGCUUCUUACUAGUCAAAAUAAUCAAGUCACAUUCUCUCACAACAUAUAUGACUUAUGUUAUCCGGUUUUGAUUAGUCUUAGAAAUACUUGUGACCCACAAGUUUUGCUAGAUAUUGAAAAUUAAAGCCCAUUUGACAUAGUUGAAAUUCAUAUGCAUGUUCUAACUAUCUCCAGCUCAUCCUGUCACCAAAUUACCUAUAGAAAUACCUCCUUGCUUCCUGACUAUGAGAAUGCCAUUGAGGCCCUUAGGAAAUAAUCUGACAAAGGCGCAUCGCAUUUGGGGUAUUGUGUUCCUAGUAGUGAGAAAGCUCACCGUUAAGUUCUUCCUACCUAAAAAAAUUGCUAUCUAUGUACAUCUAGUUUGGUUAUGUUUUUCCUGCUGUUCUUCAUUAACAGUGAAAGUCAAUUUGAUUCUGUAGAUGAACCUGCUAAAGAUUGAAGAAUAGGAACAGAAAGAGACCUAUCGGCUCAUCAAAUAGGAACAUGGAUCCUUGAUUACAAAGGAUCUCUAGUGCCAUGUGAAGCAAGCUGAGAAAAAGUCAUGAAGAAUCAGACUGAAGUGCGAAGGAUGGCGAAUAUGGAGGAUGGGCCGUUGCUCUCUGCCCCAAGUCCAACUGAAGGCCAAAGCACUACGAGGAAGAUAAAGCAUGAGGAGGAAAAGGAUUCACCUGAAGCCACACAAGAGGAAAGCAAAAGAAGAUGCAAAGCAAGGCACAUAAAAGCACUGUUCCUCAGCCACACCAAGCAAAGGAUAAGAGAAAGCAGGAUGAUGCCUGCAGAAUCUGAUGACACACAGCUUUGCCCCCUCAUGUCCUUCCAUUGCUCAGUCCCAGGCUUCAUGAUGGACCAAUUCCACCAAGUGGCAUUCAACUUCCCAGGAGUCCUGUGUACGGUCUAACCUUGCUCAGCUAAUAUUCAUCAUUGACGUCUGCAAAUGCGCCUAGAGCUGAGACACAUGGGAUGAUCGGUCUACACCAUAUUUCAGCUUUUGCAAAGAUUCUGUACGGAUCAAUAUCUGGGUGGCACAGGCAUAUUCUUCUCUCAAGCGGGGAAGUGGAAAAUACCAGGUACGACAAUCGUGCAACUUAUGUUGCAUAGGCCUAUCAUCAGAAAUUCUUGGACAAGAAUUUCAUUUGCAUAACUGUCUGAAGCUGAGAUUUUUAUAUAACACCAAAGUAUUCGAAUGCGUUCUUGGGUUCUGUUUUUCAUAUUCAUGGAAUUUCGUGGUAUGUGACAAUAUGUUGUUUCUCUCUCCAAAAUUACCUCUCAAGGUGUUGUGAUUUGAGCCCCCCUCCAACACAGGGAAAAGUAUGGCCAUUCCAGACAUGCAUGCGAAUUGAUAGAGUUUGUUCAGGGACUCCUUUAGCCUUGCUUAAAUGAACGAAAUUCCUGCAGCCUUGCUUACUAUUGUUGUGAAGAUUUUGCUGCAGUUCCUGGUGUUGAACAGGCCUGUGCAGUGGAACAUGGUCGGUGUCCACAUCUGCACCACCUCCAAUGGUAUGUAUGGCUACUUUGUUUAGGUUGCUCAGCUGGUUAGUGUGCCUGUUUGGUUCCUCGAAAGCGCGUCAUUUUCAUGUGAUCCUUAUCUAUAGCUUCCAGAUUCUAACCGUUUGAGAUUUUUUUCUUCUUUUAUCUUGAGAUGAUUGAAACUGUUAUGUUGUCAAAGCACGAUCUUAUUUCACAAAAUCCAGUUGGUUGCUCUGUCAUACGAAUCGAUUCGAAGGGAGAAGGAAGCCUGAAGAUGAGAAGAGCCGAGCCGACCGGCCAAUCACGGAGAGGCGCGAGCGAGCAGGAUCCUGUGCAUGCGCUGCAGCCUGGCCCUGCUCUGUAGGUCUGAACUGAAGAAUGGAAUCAUGUUUCGAUUGUAACCUGCAUGGAUUUGCUUCAUGUAAUUGCACCACCCGCAAUACUCACAGUAUAUGUACUGUACUACCUCCGAUCUUGAAUAUAUAUUCUAAGU